Molecule: long non-coding RNA, 1011 nt
Filed under: Phocoena sinus (vaquita)
Lineage: Eukaryota; Metazoa; Chordata; Mammalia; Artiodactyla; Phocoenidae
Description: lncRNA (ENSPSNG00000017169.1)
Source: RNAcentral
CCGCGUCCGCGCCGCCCUCCCGCCCGGCUCCGGGUAGUUUCCCGCUUCUGAGUCCCGGCCGUUGGCGGCUGUUGGCGGCCGUUACCUCCCCGUUGCCGGGAGGAGUCCGAGCGGAUUUAGAGUCCUCGGAAGUCCACCGUGCCGUCCGGCCACGGGUAGAGGGAGGCAAAGGGAAGGAGGACUUGACAGUGGGCCUGUCGGGGGCCAUUCGGUAAACUCCAAAGAGCCGAGGGUCCUGAGUGGGAGGGAGCCACGGGCUCGCGAGGAGGCUGCGAGGCGAUCCACGACCUUUCGGGAUGUGAUGCUCACCCGGGACGGGGCUGGGGGACCGCAGAGCCGUGACUCGCCCGGGACCCAGAGCAGAAACUCCAGGUCGCUUCUGGCAUUUUACCUGCAAAAGCAGAUGAGCACACGAGCCCAGAGAGCUGAUUUCCCCCGGUCGCACAGCUAGAGAGCCCAGGAUGGCUUCUUGCUCAGUGCCAUACUCUGUGAAAAUUAUUGGAGAGACCGGCCAGAAGGGAGAGGAAGUGAUGAAGAGGAUUAACACCCUGCUUCUAAUUCUGGCCACCUCAGAGGCUCUGCACGGAAAAUCAGAAGUGACAGGAAUCCUGGAAGAGGGCCACCUGGCCAUCAGAAAAUUCCAGAGAGAUGUGGUCACUGCCAGACAUACAGUCGAUUGGCCAUUUCAUCCGAAAAUGUUCUUUAAACUAACCGGAAGUGGGUCUGGCUCCAAGCUACUGCCAAGUCUCCCCUGUCGUUGGUUUUCCUGUGUGUGUAAAGCAAGGUGCGAGGAAAAGAAAAGGACACCCCUGUCACACCUGGGAAGACAGAACACUCAUCCCAUACAUACAGAGGACAAUGUCAAGACAUUACGGGAGCAUACUGAAGAUCUCCCAGUUUUGCAAAAUACAUGCUAGGGGGACUACAAGAUGGAACAGAGCUCUGAUUAUCCAUACUUAAUUAUUCAUGGCUGGUGUUAUCUAAUAUUAAUAAAGCAAACAAAUGCAAUGC